This 375-nucleotide ribosomal RNA is filed under the name uncultured eukaryote. RNAcentral describes it as "partial 18S ribosomal RNA". It matches the Rfam family "Eukaryotic small subunit ribosomal RNA", at positions 592 to 976 of the family's 1831-position model. The record is from RNAcentral.
CAAUAGCGUAUAUUUAAGUUGUUGCAGUUAAAAAGCUCGUAGUUGGAUUUCGGUUAAGAGCGACCGGUCCGCCGUUUGGUGUGCACUGGUUGGUUUUAACUUCCUGUAGAGGACGUGCUCUGGGUUUAACGACCUGGACUCGGAGUCUACGUGGUUACUUUGAAAAAAUUAGAGUGUUCAAAGCGGGCUUACGCUUGAAUAUUUCAGCAUGGAAUAACACUAUAGGACUCCUGUCCUAUUUCGUUGGUCUCGGGACGGGAGUAAUGAUUAAGAGGAACAGUUGGGGGCAUUCGUAUUUCAUUGUCAGCGGUGAAAUUCUUGGAUUUAUGAAAGACGAACUUCUGCGAAAGCAUUUGCCAAGGAUGUUUUCAUUAA